UACGGAAGGCAGCGGUGGGGAAUAUUGCACAAUGGGCGCAAGCCUGAUGCAGCCAUGCCGCGUGUAUGAAGAAGGCCUUCGGGUUGUAAAGUACUUUCAGUCGUGAGGAAGGUGUUAAGGUUAAUAACCUUAGCAAUUGACGUUAGCGACAGAAGAAGCACCGGCUAACUCCGUGCCAGCAGCCGCGGUAAUACAGAGGGUGCGAGCGUUAAUCGGAUUUACUGGGCGUAAAGCGUGCGUAGGCGGCUGAUUAAGUCGGAUGUGAAAUCCCCUGAGCUUAACUUAGGAAUUGCAUUCGAUACUGGUCAGCUAGAGUAUGGGGAGAGGAUGGUAGAAUUCCAGGUGUAGCGGUGAAAUGCGUAGAGAUCUGGAGGAAUACCGAUGGGCGAAGGGCAGCCAUCGUGGCCUAAAUCGUGACGCUGAGGUACGAAAGCAUGGGGA
This 441-nucleotide ribosomal RNA is filed under the name uncultured bacterium. RNAcentral describes it as "bacterial SSU rRNA". It matches the Rfam family "Bacterial small subunit ribosomal RNA", at positions 340 to 767 of the family's 1533-position model. The record is from RNAcentral.